GGGGUUCAGUGUUUUGCCCAAGGGUUCAGUGUUGUUGUUCUUUGGCUUUUUAACAUAGCUGUAGUUGCCUAUACCAGAGGUAAGUUAGCAAUUAUUGACAGUAAUCACACUUAUUAAAUAGUUAAGGCAUAAUAAAUCUUACUCAUUGUUAUACUGUCAUACUUUCUAGGUGUUGACUCUGAACCAGGUGAGAAGGAUGGACGACCACAGGAUUGGGAUGACUACAAGUCCAGCAGAAGAGCGGGGGUUGCCUUUCUUUCACUCGGCCAAGGCAAGAUUCCUCUGGGAUUUUGGCACUCGUCAGGCAGCUGAGAACGGACGUCAACCAACCCAUCAUCUCAGGCAGACCCGGCACCACAGCAGACCACUGGA
Etheostoma spectabile (orangethroat darter) is the source of this 372-nucleotide long non-coding RNA. RefSeq lists it as uncharacterized. NCBI's taxonomy places the organism in Eukaryota, Metazoa, Chordata, Actinopteri, Perciformes, Percidae. The record is from RefSeq and is a predicted model, not a curated record. The transcript is spliced from 3 exons.